RNAcentral lists this ribosomal RNA (627 nucleotides) under uncultured cyanobacterium. Its description in RNAcentral is "bacterial SSU rRNA". It matches the Rfam family "Bacterial small subunit ribosomal RNA", at positions 876 to 1504 of the family's 1533-position model. Lineage: Bacteria; Bacillati; Cyanobacteriota. The record is from RNAcentral.
GGGAGUACGCACGCAAGUGUGAAACUCAAAGGAAUUGACGGGGGCCCGCACAAGCGGUGGAGUAUGUGGUUUAAUUCGAUGCAACGCGAAGAACCUUACCAGGGUUUGACAUCCUCGGAACAUUUUGGAAACAGAAUGGUGCCUUCGGGAACCGAGAGACAGGUGGUGCAUGGCUGUCGUCAGCUCGUGUCGUGAGAUGUUGGGUUAAGUCCCGCAACGAGCGCAACCCACGUUUUUAGUUGCCAGCAUUAAGUUGGGCACUCUAGAGAGACUGCCGGUGACAAACCGGAGGAAGGUGUGGAUGACGUCAAGUCAGCAUGCCCCUUACAUCCUGGGCUACACACGUACUACAAUGCUACGGACAGAGGGCAGCGAGCCAGCAAUGGUCGGCAAAUCCCGUAAACCGUGGCUCAGUUCAGAUUGCAGGCUGCAACUCGCCUGCAUGAAGGCGGAAUCGCUAGUAAUCGCAGGUCAGCAUACUGCGGUGAAUACGUUCCCGGGCCUUGUACACACCGCCCGUCACACCAUGGGAGUUGGUCACGCCCGAAGUGGUUACCCUAACCUUUUGGAGGGGGACCCCUAAGGCAGGGCUGAUGACUGGGGUGAAGUCGUAACAAGGUAACCGUA